AGAGCGAACGCUGGCGGCAGGCCUAACACAUGCAAGUCGAGCGCGUGUAGCAAUACACGAGCGGCAGACGGGAGAGUAACACGUGGGAACGCGCCCUUCGGUUCGGAAUAACUCAGGGAAACUUGAGCUAAUACCGGAUACGCCCUUACGGGGAAAGAUUUAUUGCCGAAGGAACGGCCCGCGUCCGAUUAGCUAGUUGGUGAGGUAACGGCUCACCAAGGCGACGAUCGGUAGCUGGUCUGAGAGGAUGACCAGCCUCACUGGGACUGAGACACGGCCCAGACUCCUACGGGAGGCAGCAGUGGGGAAUAUUGGACAAUGGGCGCAAGCCUGAUCCAGCCAUGCCGCGUGGAUGAUGAAGGCCUUAGGGUUGUAAAGUCCUUUUAACGGGGAGAUAAUGACGGUACCGUAGAAUAAGCCCGGCUAACUUCGCGCCAGCAGCCGC
RNAcentral lists this ribosomal RNA (445 nucleotides) under uncultured bacterium. RNAcentral's name for it is "SSU rRNA". It matches the Rfam family "Bacterial small subunit ribosomal RNA", at positions 26 to 518 of the family's 1533-position model. The record is from RNAcentral.